Molecule: ribosomal RNA, 889 nt
Filed under: Streptomyces sp.
Lineage: Bacteria; Bacillati; Actinomycetota; Actinomycetes; Kitasatosporales; Streptomycetaceae
Description: bacterial SSU rRNA
Rfam family: Bacterial small subunit ribosomal RNA
Source: RNAcentral
AGAGUUUGAUCCUGGCUCAGACGAACGCUGGCGGCGUGCUUAACACAUGCAAGUCGAACGGUGAAGCCUUCGGGUGGAUCAGUGGCGAACGGGUGAGUAACACGUGGGCAAUCUGCCCUGCACUCUGGGACAAGCCCUGGAAACGGGGUCUAAUACCGGAUAAUACCUUCUCCCGCAUGGGAGUGGGUUGAAAGCUCCGGCGGUGCAGGAUGAGCCCGCGGCCUAUCAGCUUGUUGGUGGGGUAAUGGCCUACCAAGGCGACGACGGGUAGCCGGCCUGAGAGGGCGACCGGCCACACUGGGACUGAGACACGGCCCAGACUCCUACGGGAGGCAGCAGUGGGGAAUAUUGCACAAUGGGCGAAAGCCUGAUGCAGCGACGCCGCGUGAGGGAUGACGGCCUUCGGGUUGUAAACCUCUUUCAGCAGGGAAGAAGCGCAAGUGACGGUACCUGCAGAAGAAGCACCGGCUAACUACGUGCCAGCAGCCGCGGUAAUACGUAGGGUGCGAGCGUUGUCCGGAAUUAUUGGGCGUAAAGAGCUCGUAGGCGGUCUGUCGCGUCGGAUGUGAAAGCCCGGGGCUUAACCCCGGGUCUGCAUUCGAUACGGGCAGACUAGAGUGUGGUAGGGGAGAUCGGAAUUCCUGGUGUAGCGGUGAAAUGCGCAGAUAUCAGGAGGAACACCGGUGGCGAAGGCGGAUCUCUGGGCCAUUACUGACGCUGAGGAGCGAAAGCGUGGGGAGCGAACAGGAUUAGAUACCCUGGUAGUCCACGCCGUAAACGUUGGGAACUAGGUGUUGGCGACAUUCCACGUCGUCGGUGCCGCAGCUAACGCAUUAAGUCCCCGCCUGGGGAGUACGGCCGCAAGGCUAAAACUCAAAGGAAUUGACGG